GCCAGGCAUGGUGAUACAUGCCUGUAAUCCCAUCAUCUCGGGAGGCUGAGGCAGGAGGAUAGCAAGUUCAAAGCCGGCCUCGGCAACAGUGAGGCGCUAAGCAACUCAGUGAGACCCUGUCUCGA
This 125-nucleotide small RNA is filed under the name Marmota monax (woodchuck). The record is from RNAcentral. Lineage: Eukaryota; Metazoa; Chordata; Mammalia; Rodentia; Sciuridae.